RNAcentral lists this non-coding RNA (60 nucleotides) under bovine gut metagenome. RNAcentral describes it as "pemK RNA". It matches the Rfam family "pemK RNA". The record is from RNAcentral.
AUAAUGGUACCCCUGCCCGACAGGGCAGCUCGGAGCGAUCCUCGGAGGGGUGAGAUUCCC